CCAUUAGUGUAGAGGAUGCUGUUCGUUUCUCUUUUUUUUUUUUUUUUUUCCUUCUACAGGAGUUGCUGAUCCAAAGGCCUGGCUUAAGAGUGAUCACUUGCUACUUGUAUUAUCAAGAUCAAGAUCGAGAUACAGAAAAAAAAAAAAAACAGGAAUUGUAAUACGACUAGAAAAACAAGCCUAGUGGGAGCGGAUGCCAAGGCUUAUCCCACGCCUACUACUGAACUGAACAGUAGUGCAGCUCCUUAUUUAUUUUUGGUGACUGGCACCAGCAAACCUGGAUGGCUGCCAGCACCCCAGCCUGCCCCUAGAUGCCCCAGCAUGCCAACAGGAUCUCCCCAAGCACAGGACAGUCUGAUUGGCUAACCAUCAUUGAAAUCCUAGCCAGGGGGCGCAGCCUCGACAACCCACCUCAGGGAUACUAAUCUAUCCUAAACUAACAGGAGCUGUACCCCCCUGGACUCCCUCAAAGAUAUUAACUUAGGCCCAGUUCACACCAGCCCGUCACUGUCACCGCGAUCACCAUCCAUGACAUCACAAAUGGUGAGCUAGAUGGGAAUCAUGACCCUUGGUGCUGAUGGCCAUCUCACCAUCAGAGAUUAAAUAAAUUCAUCAUUUGAAGGUGGGACAGUGGUGGUGUUGCCCAUUAUUGAUGGUGUUGGAUAUCCUUGAUAUCAUGAAAAUGUGAAAUAAUAUAAUAUUAUUACUGUAAAUGUUUAAAUAUAUUUUCCUGAAGUGUGAGGUAAAGACUGUUGUUCAAUGGAUCUGGAAACAUGGCAACACCACUCACCAUGCAUCCUCAGUGAAGCUGAUCCUUUGGUAAACACACAGCAUUCGAGCACGUGCAGUGUGGACCAACUAUGUAGUAUGCUGUAGACUUCAUGGAAGCUGUUUCUAUCAGCCCUUUUCUUUGCCUCCAUGAGGAUCUUGAGUUCUCCUCUUAGCGGCCUCUCCACCAGUAGUUGCUGUGCCCAUACUGUUCAUCUCCUCCUUCUUUUUGCUGGCCUAACUGGACACUCUUCUGGUUUUAAAUCUUCCAACAAUAAGAGAGCAGCAAUGAUGAGGCAAUCCUUGUAGUCCAUCUUGUUGUGGUGUGUGUGUGGGACUGAUGGGCUGACGUCACGCCAUCGCCCUGUGUUGGAGCUCAUUUCCUCUGAAGCAGACGGCUGUCAAGUUUUUGACAUCAAGGAUGGUGAUGGCGGUGAUGAUGAUGGGCUGGUGUGAACCGGGCCUUAACCUAACCUAACGUUCUAGGGUCUGUUAUUUUAUGUUAUUACUCUAGGUUCGGGUCCAGGGAAUUUUUAGAAGUGCCCGUGUCUAGGGAUGUUUAUCUGUUCACAUUUAUAGGCUGUAUUUAUCAGUAAAACCAGGCAUUGUAUGCAUGACCAGACCAAAAUUGUCUUGUCAACCAUUCUGUCCCUUGUUUUACUGGUAAAUCAGUGUUUUUCAUCUAUACCACCCAAAUACCCUGCAUUUCCAAAAAUUCCCACACUUGCUGGGGAAGAGCUGAAUAUUUAAGAAACUAUGCAUUUCCCAUGGAAAAUGAGAGAGACAUAGUUUCUUAGAAUUCAGUAAGGUAUGCAAAAAUCAUAUAACCACUGUUGCAGAUUUUGAUGGUGUCAUUCCAAAAUAAUACCCCCAUCUCACAACAGCGGACACAUUUUAUUUAUUUUGGUAAUUUUUUACUUUCACCAGUCUGUCUACUCCAAACAAAACAUUUUUUUCUGGUAGUUUUCAACUUGCUUUAAAUUAAUCUGCAUGUUUUAUUUCCCACAAAUCAGUAGCUUUUAUUUUUUUUAUCUCCACCCCCCAUCAGAAACUAAGUUAUUGCUUAUAGUAGGUCCUUCUUACUUUGCUUUUUAACACUGACAUGAUAUAGUAUACUUACUGUAGUGUACAUCUGUAAAAGUUUCAGACAGUGACUUCCUAUAGUUAACUCACAAAUGCACAAUUAAAAACAGAAGUGCCUCCCAGAGCCUAAGUCCGCUUUUUUUUUUUUCAAUACUUAAGCUCAGCUUGUUUGUUGUAUUAAUGAACAACAAGCAUUUUAUCAUGAACAUUUUAAUAUGAGGCACAUUUUAUUUGCGAGAUAUAUAAAGGACUCUACGAGGGUGUUAUUCCACUCUGCCCUGAUGUAAACAAACUGACCGCCUGCAACAAGCAGUCAGUUCUCAAAGCAGUGGCUUGUGUCCAGUGUUGCCACAACUCCAUCCAUAGCGUGUGGGACUUUCAAAUUGAGUCAGCUGCUUCCGAAAUCUGUUAAAGCA
This is a long non-coding RNA of Scylla paramamosain (green mud crab), 2267 nucleotides long. RefSeq lists it as uncharacterized. The record is from RefSeq and is a predicted model, not a curated record. Lineage: Eukaryota; Metazoa; Arthropoda; Malacostraca; Decapoda; Portunidae. The transcript is spliced from 3 exons.